UUCCAACGUAUCUCUCCCCCCACUUCGACUCUUUCGAGGCCCCUCCGGUCUCCCCCUCGGGACCUCAACAUGGCGCCUCUCCUUGCUGAUUGUGGCGGCCAAUAACCUGAUUCGGGGGUUUCUCCGGAGGACGAUAAGUCGGUCUCUUUGUUCUCUGUUUGUUCCUCCUCUCUCGCGGGAUUUCUCUUUUCUUGGGAGUUUUCGCUUGCAAUUUUGGUUCUUGCAAGCUCGUUUGAUUGCUAUCUGUUAAAUAUGUUGGUGGAAUUCAUGGAAAAAUUCCUUUUUCCGAAGGAUAUUGGACGAGUCCAGCUCAAUUUUGGAAUUUUCUUUCAUGUUCUUUGCCACCACUCUGAUGUAAGAAGGGUUCUCGUGACCUUACGGCAAUCUGGAUUUUCGUGUGAGGGAAUUGUGGAAGAAGCACCAUUUUUUUCAUGAAAGCAUCUUAUUUUCAAUCCCCCCUUUAGGAAAUGUAGAUGCACUGGCUGUGAAAUACAAUCUGUUCGUGUGUGCUUCGAAUUUUCUGUCAAGAACUGUAUCCCAAACUUUUUCUUGGCAAUGUGCAUCUAGUUCACUUCUCAAAUGGGUUCCUUAUGCUACUUAGAUCUCCGAAUCUUACAAAUCAGGGUCAUUUCCCUGGUUUUUACUUGUUUCUAAAGUCGCGUAUUUUGUUCAAGUGCUCGAGUUUGCCAAUGCUCAGUAUUGCGGCUAAUCACUGGCCAGUCGUCACUCUUCUUUCAAUUUGAUUUAAGUCUUUUGAUUCCUCGAGUUUUCUUGGGUUAUUCCCUUUAUCUUGUUUUCAGACUCAUCCUGUUUCAUCCCGCAAAUGAGGACUUCCUCUCGUAAGCUGGCAAGAUCUGAUUGUUUUAAUGUGAUGACAUGCACUUUUCUUGCUUCUUAGCUCAAGAAAUUCGAUGACAUGUUCUUUGAAUUUUUUUCUUCCUGAAAUGCCUCAUUUCUUGAUGAAUUGCUCCAACAUUUUGGCAUUAAUUAUUCAUCGUAGUUUCAGUCUGAAAAGCAUUCUUCUUUAAGUGAGGUUUUAUCAUGGUAUGAUUAUUGUCUUCCUUGUUUUCUUAGGUUUCCUUUGCUCUUGGCAAUAUUAGUUGCCGCUCUUGCAUUCAAGUGAUAAUAACACAAGCCUGGAGAAAUUUGUUGAUGAUUCUUCUCAUUAGAUCUCUGUCAGAAUACUUUAAAUCGCAUAAAAUUUUCCCUCUCUUUAUUCUUCAUCUGAAGAAAUAUGAGGUCAGGUUCGAAGAAGGGUUGAAAUUCCCUCAUGCUUCUUUGGCUAGACAGGAGAUCUUGCAGCCAUUUUUGUAUGUUUCCAAAGGUUUGGUCUGCCAGCCAUACACCAGGAAAUGCGCCAGUUUAUCUGAAUGUAUAUGACUUGCCACCAAUGAAUGGUUAUAUGUACUGGGCAGGCCUUGGGAUAUUUCACACCGGUGUUGAAGUUCAUGGGGUGGAAUAUGUAUUUGGAGCACAUGACUAUCCGAGUAGCGGAGUCUUUGAGGUUGAGCCUCGUCAGUGUCCAGGCUUCAUGUUUAAGAAAUCAAUAUUCAUGGGUACGACAUGCUUGGACUCAUUGCAGGUUAGAGAGUUUAUGGAACUUCAGUCCGUUAAUUACAGUGGAGACACCUACCACUUGAUCAUGAAGAACUUUAACCAUUUCUGCAAAGAAAUCUGUCAUAAGAUGACCGGUAACUCCGAUUCCAAAAUGGGUGAACCGACUUGUAUGCUUCUUUUUUGUUUAAAGCAUGAACAACUGUCGUUUCUGGAAGAAUUGUAUUCUGGUGAUCAUGAAGUAGUUCUGCAGUUUUCCUGCAUCUGAUGUUCCUGUUGCACAACUCAAAAUAUUGAUAACCACUUCAUGACUAUAUUUUUUGACAUCAAUGAUAUUAUCAUAAAAAAAAGUAUUAGAAGCCACUUCAAAUAUAGAGAGGAAAAUGUUGAUCCGAUCAUUAUUGUUUCAGUUUCUUGGCAAUGUAUUUAUAGCAAGGUCUGAAAUAUCGGUGCUUGUUCUGUAACCUAGAGUUCAGAUUUAUGGUUGGCUUGACCUUCAUAUAUUUUUGGAUGCACGUGGGAGAUUUUAAAAUUACCAAGUUUUGUAAGAAUAGAAUAACUGGAUUCUAUUGGGUGCUGGGACACUAGGCAAUUGUCUCUAGAUACAUCUUUAGAGAAAUUUAUUCUCUUGAAUGUUAAUCUCUGGUGAUGAAGAAGAUGGACAUGUGUUAAGAUUUGUUUGGUCUUACUUAGCAUUUGUUCUAUUAGUUCUCUUUCUUCUUGAUUGCAAUUUGGUAGACAUCGAGUCAGAUGAUUGCCAGCAAGUAUUUGAAUGCAUUAUGAAACAUGAACAAUGUACAUUAGUUCUCUUUCUUUUUUAUUUUGGUUAUGGUGUCUUCUAGUUAAAUGUUAUGGAGAAGCAAAUUUUGAUUGUCUGUAUGGAUUGAGCUUCAACAUCCUCCCUAAGGGCACUCUUCACCGGCAUUAUAACCAAGAUGAGUGAAAUAUCCUUUUCCAUUUGUUUGUGGCAAGCAGUGUAUCACUUCAACUUUGAUCAUUUUGUGUAGUUUUUUCUUAUUCUAAUUUGGCUAUUGAUCUUCCUGGACAUAUCAAAUGCUAUGGCAAUAUGCUUCUCUGCAGGUUCCCUUUGCAAAUGCUGACUGCCUGAUAACUGCUGUUCAGCAUGACCCAGAUUUCCAAUCCUAGGAUGGAGAGAGGAGGCAGCUGAGAACUGCUUUCAGUUGUCUAUCCUCGAUUUCUAUGUGCCAGAGGCAGUACACUAUUUCUUCUCUUUUCUUGACAUCUCGUUUUAGAGGGUGCCUUUCACACUGGGAGUUAAGAAGGUCUAAUGUCAUUCCUUUGUAGGAAACCUGAAAAUAUCAUCAUCUGUUGACCGAGAAAGGUGUUGAUCGAGAAAGGAGUUACAGUUCUGAGCUCCUUUUUUUUUUUUGGUGGAAAAGCUUGUCACGAGUGUUGACCAUAAUAUAGGAAGAUGGAUGUGAUGUGAGCUUUGGCCUUGUUACUUAAGUUCAUCAUCGAUGAGAAUUCUGCGGCAGAAUGUUCGUUUGAUGUCAAUACUAAAUGAAGGGUAGAGGAAGAAACAUAAUGGACAAUGGACAUUACAACAGCAGAGACAAGCAGCAGGGUUGGGUUUUCACACCACCACUACCACCACAAGGACUCCUCAAAAGCUGCAAGAAAGUGACAACCAUGAG
Musa acuminata AAA Group (dessert banana) is the source of this 3209-nucleotide RNA transcript. It is a transcript of the gene named deSI-like protein At4g17486, with no coding region annotated. Lineage: Eukaryota; Viridiplantae; Streptophyta; Magnoliopsida; Zingiberales; Musaceae. The transcript is spliced from 3 exons. The record is from RefSeq and is a predicted model, not a curated record.